This is a long non-coding RNA of Suricata suricatta (meerkat), 1443 nucleotides long. RefSeq lists it as uncharacterized. Lineage: Eukaryota; Metazoa; Chordata; Mammalia; Carnivora; Herpestidae. The record is from RefSeq and is a predicted model, not a curated record. The transcript has 7 exons.
CCGGGGGUGGAGGCAGGUGGCCGGGGACGCGGCGGCGAGAAGCUUCGGUGGUCCGGUGCGCUCUCUCCGAUCCCUGCUGUGCCCGCCGGGCCGGAGACCCGCCGCGGCAAACCCGGGAGGAAGCUUUGAGCCGAGCUUCCCGCCGGGAGGUUCUUGUAGUUUCCCGGACUUCGCUUUCUGUUUCGAUUCUCUUCCUGCUCCUCGUCAGGCCUUUCCCGACGUAACCCGCCGGGCGACGAGUGUAGGUUUCGUUGGGGAGGAGACGCCCUUUGGUUGGUCCUGGCAAGGACAGUGUUUGGGUCGCAGGCACUGUGGGAAACAGAAAAAGAAAGCGAAUUCGAAUGCAACAGCAGCGAUCCAGCAAUGCUUCUUGGGCAGGUGUUUUGACUUCUUUGCAAGGUUCUGCCCCCCAAAUCAGACUUGUUUCCCACAGCCCUACAGCAUCCCCCCCCCACCCCCCACCCCCGCCAGCUAAAGCGUGGAGGGCUGGAAAGCGCGUGAUGUGGGACUUCCCAGUGCAGAAGUGCCUCGGACUCUGAUGCCAACAGGAAGGAGUUACCCUUGGUUGGUGCGUACAGGGCCCAGUGACAGACGAAGAAGGACUUUAACCACCAACUCAGCUUAGGAGGAAGCCAAGAAUGAAGGUUUUCUAACUCCCAGCCUGAUUGUAAGCUGCUUGAAGAGAGGACGCCUUUACACAAUAACCAGUACAAUACAAGCCGCAGGUCCUACCAACAGGUCCUCGCUGAUUAUUCCCAAUGGAAAUUUGAUUUGCUGUGACCUUAGCAGCUGACCCAAUGUCAAACACAUAGUGAAAAGUUGCUGAAGUGAAAUGCAACUUUGGCUUUGCAGUGGGGAGAGUGGGCAGCCUUGUCUUGUUCCUGAUCUUGGGGGUGAUCCGAGGUGAGGAAGAGAUCUCCAAGGAAGAGAUCUUCAUAGGAAGAACAUGUUGACAUGCUCAGAGGAGAAAGAGUCUGUGGGAGAUUCCCAGUAGCAGGAAAAGAACCCACGAGGAUUCUCCGCCCAGCCGGUACGGGCGAGACAGGUACCGCUGAACGCCAGGGAUGAGCGCUCCGGGACCUGGCAUCGGCGAAGACACUUAAUGAUCCAAAUUUGGCGUGCUAUGGAUUGAACCAUGUCCCCUUAAAAUUUAUUUGUUGAAGCCCUCACCCCAUUUGUGAUGGGAUUUGGAGAUGGGAAUCCUUGGAUGGUAACUAGGUUUAAAUGAGGUUAGGAAAGUAUAAUCCUCAAGACAGGUUUAAUGCCCUUAUAAGAAGAGAGAACAGAGAACUUACUUCCUCUGUCUCUCUCCACCCACAACUCGGAGGACAAAGCAAGAAUGAGGAAGAACCAGGUGUGGAUACAGCAAGAAGGUGGCCAUCUGAACCCAAGGAGAGAGUGCUGCCUAGAGCUUGUCCCUGCUGGACCUUGAUCUUGGACCAG